Molecule: long non-coding RNA, 7504 nt
Filed under: Homo sapiens (human)
Lineage: Eukaryota; Metazoa; Chordata; Mammalia; Primates; Hominidae
Description: HSALNT0062093
Source: RNAcentral
AUGACUGCAAAGCUGGUGUAGUAAGAGAGGCAAGAAAUCCAGAGGGCGGCAGAGGUGGAAAGGAGUGGGCAGGUUGGAAGAUGGUGAGGAAGUAGCAUGGACAGGACUUGGUGUCCAGGUGGAUGUUGGGGGUAAAGGAGAAGGAGGGUUCAAGGAUCAUGCCUCGGCUGCUGGAACACCCUAUGAUCUCUUCCCUCUGCUGGCUUCUUGUUGCUUCUGACUGAACCCUUUCCACUUUUCUACCCAAAUAAUCGCUUGUUAUUCCAUACUCAGUUUGAGCAUCACUUCUCCCUGGAAAGCUUCUCUGACUGUCAGGAUUCCAGAGGAAAGGCAUGGCACAUUAUCACUGGGUAACUGACGAGCACUGUUAAAGGGACUAGUUAUAAAGGUGACAGCAGGGCUUAAGGAAACAAACGAUGGCACUGAACCUGAUGGCUAGUAGUCCUGUGACCAUCUGAGAGGCUGGAAAGCACCAGGGGAGAGAAGGUUACUAGGACACAGAGAAAGAGUCGGAGGAGAGGGCUGCUUGACCAGAGCUGUGUCCUUCAGUAGGGGAUACAGCCAGUCUACAAUGAUCCUGAAAGAAGGAAUUCCAGAGAAUGAACACUUCAGCCUUCUUUUCCUUCCUCUGGUUCAUCUUUGCUGUAGCUCCCCAUUGGCCAAAUCCAACUAGAAGCAGCAGGCACAGGAGCCCAUUGAGGCAGUCCCUGCAAUCAGCCCCCAGGGCACAAAGCAGCAUGGAGCGUGGGCCUGGAGAGGAAAGUGGGAGACGCCCACAACCCUUUCCCCGACCAACCCUAACCCCAGUCUAGAUCAGCAGCUUCUCCUGUUAGGGCCUCCUAUACCCUGUAAUUCUCGCUGUCAAGCAUUGCUCUAUCUGCCCCCCUCCACCUAGGCUGUGAGCUACUUGAGGGGGUUCUGCCACAUCUUAGCCAUCUUUGUAUCCUUGAUACCUAACACAGAGCUUGGCACUUGGUUAAGGCUCCAUAAAUGUUGAAUAAAAAUCCUCCUUUCAAAUGCAAAUUUCACAUAGAACGUAAACUUCUUAAUCUAUUGUCAGCUGGUGCCUCAGGGUGGUUUAUGGUAAGAAAGAACAAGUUUCUGCAUUAUAGGCUUGAAGUUAAAAGGCCCCCAGAGGACAUGUACUCACUGGUUUUAUUAUCUUUUUUUUAUUGAUCAGUGUGUCAUCAGUCAACAAGUAUGCAGCAGCUUUCUGUACAAGGAACCGGAAUUCCUACCAGAAAUUAACACGUGCUAGGGAGUCAUUUUCCUUUUGUAACAAAAGUAAUGCAAAGUAAUUGAAAGCAAUGACAUUAUUUCAUCCAAAUAGUAUAGGAUGGAUCAAGUAGAAAAAUGUGUUGGGAAAUUAAAUUUACUAGGUAAACACAGCCACAGAGAGCUCACAGCUGUUUACAGCUCAGUUGUAUUUAUGGGAUGACAUAGCCUAGCCAUCAGGCAUACUCGGGAUGACUGGGCUGUACAUUCUGGCAGUCUGUCCCAUCUGUUCCAGCUUCUUCAUUUUCACAGCCAUCCCAGGCCACCUCCUCUUUCAACCUGCCCUACACUGAGGAAGUGAGGAAGAUUGUUCUGGCAGCAAUUUUCAUCACAUCAUAUUAUUCUCCAGCCUUAUGUUCAAACUCUUUUGACAAGUAGCUCCCACUUCACUCUUAGUAAUCUAACAUGUCCCCUUGUAAUUGCUUCUCAAUCAUGCAUCUAUAGCUCCUCUCAUUGCUUAAUAUUAAAGGGAAUACAUCUGUCUUCACAUUGCUUUGAAUUCUCACCAUUCCCAUACCUAGUAGGCACUGAAGGGGGAUUUCUGAUUAAUAAUCCACUUAGAUAUACCUACCCCAUACAUGUCACCAUGGUAACUCUACACCUUGCUAAAAGUUGAUGGCAUAGUGUGUAAUGACUUGGCUUCUUCCCCAUUCAGCCACUAAUCCUGUAGAUGGAUUAUUUUGUUCCUACCCCCACAAAGCCUGGAGAGCUCUGUAGCCCAUGAAAAAAUCAGAAGAGUUGCCAGCCUGCUACCUGAUUCCUCUCUGCCUCCAAACACAAUGCAAAACAAGCUCCAGUUUCCAUGCUGAACAUAAAUAGAGAUUGUUCUUCAACUUCAGAAAUGUCCUUAGCCGAAAAUGUACAAGCCUAGCAGUUACAGGAAUUUUCUCUCUCCAUCUUACAGGGCAAUGGCUGAGGUCUUGGGAACUCUUUCAGGAAGCCCACUAGGGAGUGAACCUUCAUUUGUCCUGAUUGCCCUGUGUUACAGAGGGAGGGAAUGUCCCCCCAACCAGUAGCUAGAAACCAGGGCCAAACCCAUGAAAACUCAUGGAUUCAUUCCAUGCCUCCUUCUCUGAUAUCCUACUGCCAGGCACAGCCACCGUUUUGCACAAAUCUGGGUGAAUGGUGCCCCUGAGGCUGGAAACUAUGGUGGGCCUGGUGCUGAGCUUCAUCUUGAGCCUAGUGAAGAUGAUGCUACGCUUCUUGAGAGGCGCUCGGCCAUUUACCCUGUGCUGUGUCCCAGGAAGCCGACUGGUAUGGGCUGCAUUGAGUCUUUUGCCCUCCAACUUCCUAUUGGAUAAUGGGGACCUGUGACAAGAGGUUGGACAAUGAGAAGGAGGAGAGUGACCAGUGAACCUGCCUCCCUGCCAGUUUGCUGUGGGUUUGUUACUAGCAGCUGUUGCCCACCAGACAGUCCUCUCAGAGUUCAGGCAAACACUCUGAUGACCCUGGUGUUACUAGCCCCAGAGUAUUGCCCUAUCCCCUGUUGCCCUCAUCUUUCUAAAUGAUUCCUUUACUAAACUCCUUUGACUCAGUUUGAGUGUGCCAUAAUCUCUUUUUUGCAGUAACUCUGACCAUACAGUGGUAAAUAAGAUAAAGCCUUGGCCUCCUUGGAGCUUAGGUUAGUGUGGAACAAAGAAAGACAACAAAUGUGUUUGCAAAUACAAUCUAUGUAAUUUCAGAUAGUGACAAAAGCUUUAAAAAAAGAAAGUACACCAGGGUAAUGGAAUGGCUGGAGAGGGUCUAGGGAGGAGAGCUACUUUUCUUCAAGUAGCCAGGAAAGGCCUUUCUGAAGAGGUGACAUCUGACCUGGCACGAUGACAGUGAGAAUGAGACAGCCACACCAGCAUGUAGAGAACAAUCUAGAGGGGGGAACACUGAUGCAAACAGCCCCCAACAGGAAACAACUGGAACAGAAUGGAACCUACUGGACAAGGGGAGAGUGGCAGGAGCUGAGGUCAGGAAGGAAGGGCAUAAAAGAGUUUAGAUUUGAUCAUUAGGACACUGAGAACUUAUUGUAGGAUUUGGGCAGGGAGUUGUGAUGGUUACUAUCCUAACAGAAAUUAGAUGAAACAAUCAAAGGGUUUAACUGAAGACAAUGCAAUGAGAGGAUUAUUUUCUUAAAUGUGGGCAGGAUUAGGAAACUAAUAAAGGGUGGUGAAGCAUCCAGGAGCUAGCAACAGAGAGAAGCUCUUAUCAUGGGGAGAGGGUCCAGGUGCGGAUGAGUGACAUGGCACGCCUGGACUUCUGAGGACAAUGGAGCACACAGCGAUCUGAACAUUUGACACAAAUUACAGAGGCUGGAAAGAAAGAAUUUCACAUCUUCCAAUCAAUACCCUUAGUCCAAAUAUUUGUCAGCAAACUCUAACUGUUUUCAUAAACUUUAACGCCUUCAGGGCUCAGUCAGGAACCUGUGAGGAAUUCAGGUGAAAACCAAUAAUGAGCAGGGGGGCGGUGGUGAAAAGGUGAGGCUGGCCUUACUGAAGGGCAUUCAGAUGGAAGCAUUACACAGUCCUGAAUUCAGGAGAGCUGUCUGGUUCCUGGAGCCAAACUGCAGCUUCAGAGAUGAUUUAUUCAGCAAGUUUCCCAGCUUGCAAAACUUUCCAAAGUCCCCUUAUUGCUGUACAAUCAUUGCUGUUUGGGGGCCAGUAAAGCCCAUCAGGGGCUUAUCUGGGGUUAACAAAGGCGUCGCUGACUUGCACCUCUUUACCCUAAGGGGCAUCAUUUAGGUGACUCUUCCAAGUUGGCAAAAAUAGAUGCCUUCCAUACCAUUGGUCUUAAAUUUAGAGAGUGCAGAGUCCUUAUUAAGACUAAAUUGUAAGGAAAGAAAACACUUGUGGGGUUACCGAGGGCAAGUAAUUACACAUAGUCUUUUUUUAUUCCUCUUCUGGUUUCUGUCUCCUAGUAAGAUACAUGUAAAAACAACAACAAAAAUGAAGACAGGCAUUGCUCUCUUAAGACACCUCGGCUGCCUCUCACUGGCAUUCAUCUUAUCCUGUGGUUUCCAGGUGUUUUUAGCAGCAGAACUCUUUUUCCAGACAAAAUCUGCCAUGGAGCUUUAAUGGAUAACACAGGCAAAAUCCAAGUGGCCAUCUCCCAGACACCUCCACAGACCCUGAUUCCAAUCAUCUCCAGCAGGACUGUCCUGAAUGUGCGUAUGUGAGUGAGGUUUAUUGCGGUAUGAUUUUCAUACAGUAAAAUUCAAUACAACAAAACUGUAAUAACCGUCUUGUAAUAACUCCACAAUCAAGACACAGAACAGCUCCAUCACCCGCUAAAUUCCUUUGCACCCCUUUCUAGCAAAUCCCCUCACCUCAUCCCCAUCCCUGAUCUGAUUUCUGUCUCUAUAGCUUUACCUUUCCCAGAAUAUCAUAUAAACGGAGUCAUGCAGUGUGUAAUCUCUCGUGCCUGGUUUCUUUCACUUAGCCUGAUGCUUUUGAGGUUCAUUUGUGCUUUUGCAUACAUGAGUAUUUUGUUUCUUUUUAUUACAGAGUAGUCUAUUGUUCUUGUGGUAUUUUUCAAUGUCGUCCUUCAGCUUCCAAUUUCUUUUCUGUAUAAACUGUAAAGCUGCCCAUUCAAAUAAUUUUCUUUUUUCCUUGAAAUGCUAAGAUUGAAGCCCUGAUAACACCAUUGCAGAGGCACAAGUGGGAAAGAGCGUGCGUGACCUGAGAGGUGUCCUUGCUGUGCCAUGCUGCUGCAUCAAAGCCGCUCACAGAGCUGGCUCCCGAGCCUCCAAGUGCCUCGUCUCUUCCCAGGACUAGAAGUCCUAGGAAUUGUCUAAUCAAAGGAAGGAAGUACUGCUUGGAUUCCCUUUUUAUUGUAUUUUCAAUUAUAAUUAAGAGACAAAUUUUUAAACCAGGAAAAGAAUAUGAGGGAAUGUGUUUGUUCAGAAAUAUACCUAGGCCGCUAAAAGUCUUCCAAGGGCAAAGAUGUGCCUAAAAUACAAUUUCCAUACAAAAACUUAAACCAAAAAUCUCAGCUUUGUCCACUGCACGUGUGACCACACAGUUGUAACAAUCUUUUGGAUUCUCAAUUCUGCCAUCUCAUAAGUAGCUUUUAUCCCCCUCUCAAAGGCCAUACCACUUGUGGAUGCUCUCAUGUCUAAAGAAUCUACCAGAGCAGUCAAGGGCACUUUCCUUCCUCCUCCCCAGCCCCACUCUUACAGUACUCCAGGAGACUGAGGCAUCUCAUUCUCUGCUCCCUUUAAAAUAUUUUUGUUCUGGGUUUUAUUUCUUUAAUUUGUCAUGUUUUAAAGAUGCUUUAAUAUUUAUGAACUACCCCCAGACACUUUCUUGAAAUAGAUGGAGUGUCAUUGAUAAAAUAAAUGUUAUGAGAAUUAAGCGCUGUAUUUCUUAUCAUUUUGAGUCCCCCUAAUAUUUCGCUUGUGCUGAAAAUAAUGGCUCCUCCCUGUCCUGUCUGCUUUGAGCUGAGCUAGAUCCAUGCAGUUUGUCAUUGCUCCUGAAAGUGAGUUUGACUUCUUGAGACAGGAAGGAGGGAGAUAGGAAAGUCAUCAUUUAAAAGAGAGUGUGUGACCCUAGAGGCAUUUAUUAGGUCAUUUAGGCCAACACAUUUUGAGUCAUUCUUCUCUGCAGACCUGUGCAGUACCCUGAGGCUACAAAAACAGUUGUUGCAGCUGACAGCAAGAACUGUGACUACAAUAUCAUGGAAAAAGCUGUCACUCAGACCCCAAAUGAAGAAAUGUGGAGUCCUGUUUCUUCCAGCUGUAAAUUGCCUCAAAACCAGCAGACAGCAGCUGGCGUAACCAGACAAUGGAAACUAAGUUGAGGAAAUUAAGACAUCGAGUGACUCAAUGAAUAAGGAGAAGUACAAUUGUCACCCCAGUCAAGGAGAGGAAACUGAGGUUCAGGGAGAUUACAUUACUUCUCUAACAUGGCAUAGCUGGAAUUUGAACCCAGACCACUAUGUUCUAAUGCUUCUCCAUGUAAGUAAAAGCCCAAACCACUGUACAAUGAAUUCUCUUUGCCUUUUACUGCCAAACAGUGACAGAAUCACAACUAUUCCUGUGUAUAGAAAGGUUUUUUUUUAGAGACAUAACAGUUGUUAGUGGCUCUCAGUAAUGAUUGUCAAGAUACUUUGUUUUUGAAAUGCCACUUAAAAAACCCAAGAUAUUAUUUAGACCCAAACAAGAGACUAUGGAGUAAAUAUCUAGUUUUCUGUUUCAUUAAAAAAUUCUAUUAUCUGUAAUUCUUGAAGAUAACAUCACCUGCCCUUUGGACAAUUCCUAUCAAUUUUAAUUUGUCUUGUUACUCUCCACUCUCCCUACCCUCCCACUCACCUGAAGGCUGUUAUGGAAACUGCCGUUCAAUGGCCUGGCUCCCUGCCACCUCACCCCCAGCUGUAGUGAGCCUAUUGCCUAUGGGAUUGGAUCCAAAUUCAUCAUGUCAAAGCCCUCAUUAAUGUGGUUUCAUCUUACUUAUCCAUUCUUAUUUCCUUCAAUUUGUCCACAUCUACCCUGACUUUCAACCUAGAGCAACUCCUUUCUGCCCUUCGGAUAUGCCCUGCUUACUCCUUCUGAUUCCACACCUUUGAUCAUGCAGUCCCCACUCUGCGAAGUACUCAACUCCAACAUAUAAAGACCCUUCAAGACCCAUUUCUUCCUUGAAGCCAACUAUUUUAGUACACCCCCAUCUUGCUUUCCCCUAACUUUCUUCCUAUUUCAAAUAUAGCUAUUAACAGUUAGUUGAGCUAUCAAUUAUUCUUUAAGGCAUUGCUAAACAGGUGACAUUUGGGACCCCCAAAUAUAUUGUCACCUCCUUAAGGACAGGGCCCACCUUAAGUGUUCUCUUAUAUCCUCCAGAAUAUCCAGCACAAUGCGGAGGAAACAUUAGGUACUCAAUAUAUACUCACCGGGUAAUGAAGUUUGGAAAUAGUCAAACUUGCAUUUAAAAAUCUUAGGUUUUUAAUUUAUAGCACACUUAUUAAUUUUAUAAUUUUAUUUAAGUAAUACUCUAAAACAAUCUGAAUGUACAACAGUAAGUGUUAUUUAAGGAAUAAUACAUCCAUACAAUGGAAAUAAUAUGUAGCUAUUUUAAAAAGUGUUCUUUAGUUUAAUGAGAUCCCAUUUGUCAAUUGUGGCUUCUGUUGCCAUUGCUUUUUGUGUUUUAGACAUGAACUCCUUGCCCAUGCCUAUGUCCUGAAAGGUAACGCCUAGGUUUUCUUCUAGGGUUUUUAUGGUUUUAGGUCUAACGUUUAAGUCUUUAAUCCAUCU